GGCUCGGUGAUAAACCCUGGGGGCGUGCCUAAUACUAGCAAUGUCGAGGGAAUGGAAUGAGAGCUUUCUCUUAGAGAAUUUAGCGGGGGGAGGGGGAGAGUAAACACGGGGGCACACCUCGCCUAUGAGACUGGGAUAAUCUCCCGAAAACCGGGGGAUAAAUCCGAGAAUAUCUCUGUGACCCCGAGUGUUUAACAAUUGAAAAAGGGGCUUCGGGUGUCCAUAUAGAGAUGGACCGGGGUCCCUUUAGUUAUUUGGGGGGGGUAAGGGCUCCACCAAGGGCAACGUGGGUAGCCCACCUGAGAGGGGUGUUGGCCCACACUGGGAAUGGAAACAGGGCCCAAAUUCCUAGGGGGGGCACCAGUAGGGAUUUUUCCGCAAUGGAGAAAACUCGGAGGGGGAAACCCCGGGUGAGUGAAAAAGGUUUUGGGUUUGUAAAAUUUUUUUUAUAGGGAAAAAAAAGUCAUAGUUGAAUGAGUGUGCACCUAGACGGCACCUAACCAGAAACCCACGGAUAAAUAUGUGCCCGCAGCCGGGGUAAUAUGUGGGUGGCGAGUGUUCUCGAGAAUUAUUGGGUAAAAAGCGCGCGCAGGGGGUUUUUUAUGUGAGAUGUGAAAGCCCAGGUCUCCACCGUGGAGUCUCAUUGGAAAGUGGGAGACGUGAGUGCAGAAGAGGAAAGUGGAAUUACAUGUGUAGCGGUGAAGUGUGUAGAGAUGGGGAGGAACCCCAGUGGACGCUGGCGAGCGACUAUCUGUUGUGUGUAACUGACACAGUGGGGCGCGAAAGCGUGGGGAGCAAACAGGAUUAGAUACCGUGGUAGUCCACGCUGUAAACGAUGAGUGCUAAGUGUUAGGGGGUUUCCGCCCUUUAGUGGUGAAGUUAACGCAUAUACAGCUCUCCGCGUGGGGAGUACGGCCGCAAGGCUGAAACUCAAAGGAAUUGAGGGGGGCCCGCACAAGCGGUGGAGCAUGUGGUUUAAUUCGAAGCAACGCGAAGCACCUUACCACAUGUCUUGACCUCCUCUUGACACCCUGGAGAUAUAGGCUUCUCCCACUUCGGAGCAAACUGACACGUGGGGCGCGGGUGUCUUCUCCUCUUGUGGUGAGAUGUUUGGUUAAAUCUCCCAACGAGAGCAACCCUUGAGCUCAUUUGCCAUCUCUUUUUUGGGCACUCUCAAGUGAGAGCGCGUGAGACACCCGAGGAGAGUGGGGAUGAGAUCUCAUCUCCUCGCGCCCUAUGAGAUGGGCUACACACAUGCUACACUGGACAGUACACAGAGCUGCGCCACCUCGAGGUGGAGCUCAUCUCAUAAAAACUCUCUCUCUUCUGAUUGUGUGCGGCAACUCUCCUAUAUGAGACUCGAGUCUCUCGUAAUCUCGCAGAUCCAUGUGCCGGUGAAAACAUUCCCGGGGCUUGUACA
RNAcentral lists this ribosomal RNA (1420 nucleotides) under Bacillus pacificus. RNAcentral's name for it is "partial 16S ribosomal RNA". It matches the Rfam family "Bacterial small subunit ribosomal RNA", at positions 21 to 1387 of the family's 1533-position model. Lineage: Bacteria; Bacillati; Bacillota; Bacilli; Caryophanales; Bacillaceae. The record is from RNAcentral.